UGCCUAAUACAUGCAAGUCGAGCGGCAGCGCGAGUAGUUUACUACUUGGCGGCGAGCGGCGGACGGCUGAGUAACGCGUAGGAACGUACCCCAAAGUGAGGAAUAACUGCCCGAAAGGGUGGCUAAUGCCGCAUGUGCUCUUCGGAGUAAAGCUUCGGCGCUUUGGGAACGGCCUGCGUCUGAUUAGCUAGUUGGUGAGGUAAAAGCUCACCAAGGCGACGAUCGGUAGCUGGUCUGAGAGGAUGAUCAGCCAGACUGGGACUGAGACACGGCCCAGACUCCUACGGGAGGCAGCAGUAGGGAAUUUUCCACAAUGGGCGAAAGCCUGAUGGAGCAACACCGCGUGCGAUGAAGGCCUUAGGGUUGUAAACUGC
RNAcentral lists this ribosomal RNA (374 nucleotides) under uncultured organism. RNAcentral's name for it is "bacterial SSU rRNA". It matches the Rfam family "Bacterial small subunit ribosomal RNA", at positions 45 to 433 of the family's 1533-position model. The record is from RNAcentral.